RNAcentral lists this ribosomal RNA (388 nucleotides) under uncultured bacterium. RNAcentral's name for it is "bacterial SSU rRNA". It matches the Rfam family "Bacterial small subunit ribosomal RNA", at positions 29 to 408 of the family's 1533-position model. The record is from RNAcentral.
AAUGAACGCUGGCGGCGCGCCUAAUACAUGCAAGUCGAGCGAGAAGACGUAGCAAUACGUUUGUAAAGCGGCGAACGGGUGAGGAAUACAUGGGUAACCUACCCUAGAGUGGGGAAUAACUAGCCGAAAGGUUAGCUAAUACCGCGUACGCUCCUUGGACUUCGGUUCAGGGAGGAAAGCGAUACCGAGGGUAUCGCGCUCUUGGAUGGGCUCAUGUCCUAUCAGCUGUUGGUGAGGUAACGGCUCACCAAGGCUUCGACGGGUAGCUGGUCUGAGAGGACGAUCAGCCACACUGGCACUGCGACACGGGCCAGACUCCUACGGGAGGCAGCAGUAAGGAAUAUUGCGCAAUGGGCGAAAGCCUGACGCAGCGACGCCGCGUGGGGGA